ACUCAAAUGAAUUGACGGGGGCCCGCACAAGCGGCGGAGCAUGCGGCUUAAUUCGAUGCGACGCGAAGAACCUUACCUGGGCUUGACAUGCAGGGCAAAGCCGGUGAAAGCCGGCGCUCUACGGAGCCUGCACAGGUGGUGCAUGGCUGUCGUCAGCUCGUGCCGUGAGGUGUUGCCUUAAGUGGCGCAACGAGCGCAACCCUUGUCCUUAGUUGCCAGCGGGUAAAGCCGGGAACUCUAGGGAGACUGCCGGUGCCAAACCGGAGGAAGGUGGGGAUGACGUCAAGUCAUCAUGCCCCUUAUGUCCAGGGCUGCACGCAUGCUACAAUGCGCGGUACAAAGGGCUGCGAUCCCGUAAGGGGGAGCGAAUCCCAAAAAGCCGCGCUCAGUUCGGAUCGGGGUCUGCAACCCGACCCCGUGAAGUCGGAGUCGCUAGUAAUCGCAGAUCAGCAAUGCUGCGGUGAAUACGUUCCCGGGCCUUGUACACACCGCCCGU
Molecule: ribosomal RNA, 496 nt
Filed under: uncultured bacterium
Lineage: Bacteria
Description: partial 16S ribosomal RNA
Rfam family: Bacterial small subunit ribosomal RNA
Source: RNAcentral